AAACGAUGUUAGCUUGCUAACAGGCGUCGAGUGGUGGACGGGUGAGUAACGCGUAGGAAUCUACCAAAUAGCGGGGGAUAGCCCGGAGAAAUCCGGGUUAAUACCGCAUAAUCUCUACGGAGUAAAGAGGGCCUCUAUUUAUAAGCUUUCACUAUUUGAUGAGCCUGCGUAAGAUUAGCUUGGUUGGUGAAGGUAAAAGCUCACCAAGGCGACGAUUCUUUAGCUGGUCUGAGAGGAUGAUCAGCCACACUGGGGCUGAGACACGGCCCAGACUCC
RNAcentral lists this ribosomal RNA (276 nucleotides) under unidentified marine bacterioplankton. Its description in RNAcentral is "partial 16S ribosomal RNA". It matches the Rfam family "Bacterial small subunit ribosomal RNA", at positions 64 to 339 of the family's 1533-position model. The record is from RNAcentral.